This 449-nucleotide ribosomal RNA is filed under the name uncultured bacterium. RNAcentral's name for it is "partial 16S ribosomal RNA". It matches the Rfam family "Bacterial small subunit ribosomal RNA", at positions 29 to 523 of the family's 1533-position model. The record is from RNAcentral.
AACGAACGCUAGCGGCAGGCCUAACACAUGCAAGUCGAACGCCCUAGCAAUAGGGAGUGGCAGACGGGUGAGUAACGCGUGGGAACGUGCCUUUCGGUUCGGAAUAACUCAGGGAAACUUGAGCUAAUACCGGAUACGCCCUUCGGGGGAAAGAUUUAUUGCCGAAAGAUGGGCCCUCGUCCGAGUAGCUAGUUGGUGAGGUAAAGGCUCACCAAGGCGACGGUCGGUAGCUGGUCUGAGAGGAUGAUCAGCCACACUGGGACGGAGACACGGCCCAGACUCGUACGGGAGGCAGAAGUGGGGAAUAUUGGACAAUGGGGGCAAGCAUGAUCCAGCCAUGCCGCGUGAGGGAUGAAGGCCCUAGGGUUGUAAAGCUCUUUCGCCAGGGACGAUAAUGACGGUACCUGGAUAAGAAGCCCCGGCUAACUUCGUGCCAGCCGCCGCGGUAA